Molecule: ribosomal RNA, 440 nt
Filed under: uncultured bacterium
Lineage: Bacteria
Description: partial 16S ribosomal RNA
Rfam family: Bacterial small subunit ribosomal RNA
Source: RNAcentral
CCUACGGGUGGCAGCAGUGGGGAAUAUUGCACAAUGGGGGAAACCCUGAUGCAGCGAAGCCGCGUGAGUGAAGAAUGCAUUCGUUAUGUAAAGCUCUUUCAGCAGGGAAGAAAAGGACGGUAUCUGAGUAAGAAGCCCCGGCUAAUUUCGUUCAAGCAGCCGCGGUAAUACGUCGGCGGCCAGCGUUAUCCGGAUUUACUGGGUGUAAAGGGAGCGUAGACGGGAGUGCAGGUGUGGAGUGAAAGGCGGGGGUUCAACCCUCGGACUGCUGUGGAAACUGUAAGGCUGGAGUGCAGUAGAGGUAAGUGGAAUUCCGAGUGUAGCGGUGAAAUGCGUAGAUAUGAGGAGGAACACCAGUGGCGAAGGCGGCUUACUGGACUGUAACUGACGUUGAGGCUCGAAAGCGUGGGGAGCAAACAGGAUUAGAUACCCCAGUAGUC